UGAAUACGAGAUGCUACGGCGUCGAAGCAGUCUAUGUCAUACUUCCAAGAAAAGCUUGCACUGUCAUAAACAAAUAAUGCCUGUACCAUAACCGACACAGGUGGGUAGGUAGAGUAUACUAAGGGGCGCGAGAUAACUCUCUCUAAGGAACUCGGCAAAAUGACUCCGUAACUUCGGGAGAAGGAGUGCCUUAUUUAUAAGGUUGCAAUAACAAGAUCCAAGCAACUGUUUACCAAAAACACAGGUCUCCGCUAAGUCGUAAGACGAUGUAUGGGGGCUGACGCCUGCCCAGUGCCAGAAGGUUAAAGAAGUUGGUUAGCAUCCGCGAAGCUGAUCACUGAAGCCCUGGUGAACGGCGGCCGUAACUAUAACGGUCCUAAGGUAGCGAAAUUCCUUGUCGGGUAAGUUCCGACCCGCACGAAAGGCGUAAUGAUUUGGAUACUGUCUCGGAGAGGGGCUCGGUGAAAUAGACUUGUCUGUGAAGAUGCGGACUACCUGCACCAGGACAGAAAGACCCUAUGAAGCUUUACUGUAACCUGAAAUUGAAAUUGGACUUUACUUGCGCAGUAUAGGUGGGAGGCGUUGAGAAUAUUCUUGCGGGAUUAUUGGAGCCAUCAGUGAGAUACCACUCUUGUAAUGUUAGAUUUCUAACUUUGUAUCAUUAUCUGGUCAAAGAACAGUUUCAGGCGGGCAGUUUGACUGGGGCGGUCGCCUCCUAAACGGUAACGGAGGCGCACAAAGGUUUCCUCUGAACGGGUAGAAAUCGUAUCUAGAGUGUAAAGGCAUAAGGAAGCUUGACUGUGAGACCUACAAGUCGAGCAGGGACGAAAGUCGGUCUUAGUGAUCUGACGGUGCUGAGUGGAAGGGCCGUCACUCAACGGAUAAAAGUUACUCUAAGGAUAACAGGCCGAUCUCCCCCAAGAGUUCACAUCGACGGGGAGGUUUGGCACCUCGAUGUCGGCUCAUCGCAUCCUGGGGCGGUAGUACGUCCCAAGGGUUGGGCUGUUCGCCCAUGAAGGCGGUACGCGAGCUGGGUUCAGAACGUCGUGAGACAGUUCGGUCCAUAUCCGGUGUAGGCGUUAGAAUAUUGAGAGGAGCCUUCUUUAGUACGAGAGGACCGAGAAGGACAUACCUCUGGUGUACCAGUUAUCGUGCCAACGGUAAACGCUGGGUAGCUAUGUGUGGAGUGGAUAACCGCUGAAAGCAUCUAAGUGGGAAGCCCACCUCAAGAUAAGUA
RNAcentral lists this ribosomal RNA (1237 nucleotides) under metagenome. RNAcentral describes it as "bacterial LSU rRNA". It matches the Rfam family "Bacterial large subunit ribosomal RNA", at positions 1564 to 2810 of the family's 2925-position model. The record is from RNAcentral.